RNAcentral lists this ribosomal RNA (253 nucleotides) under uncultured bacterium. RNAcentral describes it as "partial 16S ribosomal RNA". It matches the Rfam family "Bacterial small subunit ribosomal RNA", at positions 524 to 776 of the family's 1533-position model. The record is from RNAcentral.
GACAGAGGGUGCAAACGUUGUUCGGAAUUACUGGGCGUAAAGCGCGUGUAGGCGGUCGUGCAAGUCGGGUGUGAAAGCCCAGGGCUCAACCCUGGAAGUGCAUUCGAUACUGCAUGGCUAGAGUCCCGGAGAGGAUGGUGGAACUCUCGGUGUAGAGGUGAAAUUCGUAGAUAUCUGGAGGAACACCGGUGGCGAAGGCGGCAUCCUGGACCAAUAUUGACGCUGAGGAGCGAAAGCCAGGGGAGCAAACGGG